This 463-nucleotide ribosomal RNA is filed under the name uncultured Victivallaceae bacterium. Its description in RNAcentral is "bacterial SSU rRNA". It matches the Rfam family "Bacterial small subunit ribosomal RNA", at positions 29 to 505 of the family's 1533-position model. The record is from RNAcentral. Lineage: Bacteria; Pseudomonadati; Lentisphaerota; Lentisphaeria; Victivallales; Victivallaceae.
AACGAAUGCUGGCGGCGUGGAUUAGGCAUGCAAGUCGAACGAAGAAUUUGAAGCUUGCUUCAAAGGACGAGUGGCGAAAGGGUGAGUAACGCGUGAGUAACCUGCCUUCAAGUUGGGGACAACACCUGGAAACGGGUGCUAAUACCGAAUGUGGAUAUCAAUCGCAUGAUUGAAUAUCUAAAGAUUUAUUGCUUGAAGAUGGGCUCGCGUAUCAUUAGCUAGUUGGUAAGGUAAUGGCUUACCAAGGCAACGAUGAUUAGCUGGUUUGAGAGGAUGAUCAGCCACACUGGGACUGAGACACUGCCCAGACUCCUACGGGAGGCUGCAGUCGAGAAUCUUCCGCAAUGCGCGAAAGCGUGACGGAGCGACGCCGCGUGUGGGAUGAAUGCCUUCGGGUUGUAAACCACUGUCACAGGGGACGAAGAACUGACGGUACCCUGAGAGGAAGCCACGGCUAACUACG